RNAcentral lists this ribosomal RNA (408 nucleotides) under uncultured bacterium. RNAcentral describes it as "bacterial SSU rRNA". It matches the Rfam family "Bacterial small subunit ribosomal RNA", at positions 8 to 418 of the family's 1533-position model. The record is from RNAcentral.
AGAGUUUGAUCCUGGCUCAGAUUGAACGCUGGCGGCAUGCCUUACACAUGCAAGUCGAACGGCAGCGCGGGAGCAAUCCUGGCGGCGAGUGGCGAACGGGUGAGUAAUAUAUCGGAACGUGCCUUAGAGUGGGGGAUAACUAGUCGAAAGACUAGCUAAUACCGCAUACGACCUACGGGUGAAAGUGGGGGAUCGCAAGACCUCAUGCUCUUAGAGCGGCCGAUAUCUGAUUAGCUAGUUGGUGGGGUAAAAGCCUACCAAGGCGACGAUCAGUAGCUGGUCUGAGAGGACGACCAGCCACACUGGGACUGAGACACGGCCCAGACUCCUACGGGAGGCAGCAGUGGGGAAUUUUGGACAAUGGGGGCAACCCUGAUCCAGCAAUGCCGCGUGUGUGAAGAAGGCCUU